Triticum aestivum (bread wheat) is the source of this 105-nucleotide non-coding RNA. NCBI's taxonomy places the organism in Eukaryota, Viridiplantae, Streptophyta, Magnoliopsida, Poales, Poaceae. The record is from Rfam.
AUCAUACUCCCUCCGUCCCAAAAUAAGUGACUCAACUUUGCACUAACUUUGUAUUAAGGUUAGUAUAAAUUUGAGUCACUUAUUUUGGGACGGAGGGAGUAUUAU